Molecule: long non-coding RNA, 317 nt
Organism: Bufo gargarizans (Asiatic toad)
Lineage: Eukaryota; Metazoa; Chordata; Amphibia; Anura; Bufonidae
Exons: 3
Source: RefSeq, a predicted model, not a curated record
UGGCUUCUACAUGGAGACGACUGUUAUUACUACUCAGAAGAUGUAAGAGACAGAACAUGGGACCAGAGCCGGGAUCAGUGUGAGAAGAUGGGAGCUGAUCUACUGGUCAUAAAGAACCAGGAACAGCAGGAGUUUAUACGGAGAGAUCUCAGACAGCGGAUAGAGGACACAUACUGGAUAGGACUUCACCGUGAUGGAGACGGCUGGAGAUGGGUGGAUGGAGAACAUUAUAACAGCAGCUUGAUCCAGAUAAAGACACAACCAUCAGGACGCUGUGUAUCAAUGACUAAAUCUGGUUACUAUCAGGAGGACUGCAG